UACGAGGGGGGCGAGCGUUGUUCGGAAUCACUGGGCGUAAAGAGUGCGUAGGCGGUUAUGAAAGUUAGAAGUGAAAGCCCAGGGCUUAACCCUGGAAUUGCUUUUAAAACUACAUAACUCGAAUUCGGGAGAGGAUAGCGGAAUUCUCAGUGUAGCAGUGAAAUGCGUAGAUAUUGAGAGGAACACCAGUGGCGUAAGCGGCUAUCUGGACCGACAUUGACGCUGAGGCACGAAAGCGUGGGGAUCAAACAGG
This 253-nucleotide ribosomal RNA is filed under the name uncultured bacterium. RNAcentral's name for it is "partial 16S ribosomal RNA". It matches the Rfam family "Bacterial small subunit ribosomal RNA", at positions 524 to 776 of the family's 1533-position model. The record is from RNAcentral.